GCCCGGAUAGCCCAGCAGGCAGAGGCACCGUCCUAAAAACGGCGCAGCGCGGGUUCGAACCCCGCUCCGGGCA
RNAcentral lists this transfer RNA (73 nucleotides) under Streptomyces gossypii. Its description in RNAcentral is "tRNA-OTHER". It matches the Rfam family "tRNA". Rfam says of the family: Transfer RNA (tRNA) molecules are approximately 80 nucleotides in length. Their secondary structure includes four short double-helical elements and three loops (D, anti-codon, and T loops). The record is from RNAcentral. Lineage: Bacteria; Bacillati; Actinomycetota; Actinomycetes; Kitasatosporales; Streptomycetaceae.